Molecule: ribosomal RNA, 898 nt
Filed under: uncultured Pseudomonadota bacterium
Lineage: Bacteria; Pseudomonadati; Pseudomonadota
Description: bacterial SSU rRNA
Rfam family: Bacterial small subunit ribosomal RNA
Source: RNAcentral
CAAGUCGAACGGUAACAGGUUUACUUUUAUUUCGGUAAGAGUAAAUGCUGACGAGUGGCGGACGGGUGAGCAACGCGUGGGGAUCUGCCUUGGAGAGGGGGAUAACUUUCGGAAACGAGAGCUAAUACCGCAUAUGACGAGAGUUGAAAAAUGGGUUUUCGGACCUGUUGCUCCAAGAUGAACCUGCGUUAGAUUAGCUAGUUGGUGGGGUAAAGGCCUACCAAGGCGACGAUCUAUAGCUGUUCUGAGAGGAAGACCAGCCACACUGGGACUGAGACACGGCCCAGACUCCUACGGGAGGCAGCAGUGGGGAAUAUUGGACAAUGGGGGAAACCCUGAUCCAGCAAUGCCGCGUGUGUGAAGAAGGCCUUCGGGUUGUAAAGCACUUUAGUUGGGGAGGAAGAUAAGCAUAAGAAUACGAUGCUUAUUUGACGUUACCCAAAGAAUAAGCACCGGCUAACUCUGUGCCAGCAGCCGCGGUAAGACAGAGGGUGCAAGCGUUAAUCGGAAUUACUGGGCGUAAAGCGCAGGUAGGUGGGAUAAUUAGUCAGUUGUGAAAGGCCAGGGCUUAACCUUGGGAUUGCAAUUGAAACGGUUAUUCUAGAGGUCAGUAGAGGUAAGUGGAAUUUCCGAAGUAGCGGUGAAAUGCGUAGAGAUCGGAAGGAACACCAGUGGCGAAGGCGACUUACUGGACUGAACCUGACACUGAGCUGCGAAAGCGUGGGGAGCAAACAGGAUUAGAUACCCUGGUAGUCCACGCCGUAAACGAUGAGUACUAGAUGUUGGAAGGCGUUGACCUUUUAGUAUCGAAGCUAACGCGUUAAGUACUCCGCCUGGGGAGUACGGCCGCAAGGUUAAAACUCAAAGGAAUUGACGGGGGGCCCGCACAAGCGGUGGA